AACGCGAAGAACCUUACCAGGUCUUGACAUCCUCUGACAACCCUAGAGAUAGGGCUUCUCCUUCGGGAGCAGAGUGACAGGUGGUGCAUGGUUGUCGUCAGCUCGUGUCGUGAGAUGUUGGGUUAAGUCCCGCAACGAGCGCAACCCUUGAUCUUAGUUGCCAUCAUUUAGUUGGGCACUCUAAGGUGACUGCCGGUGACAAACCGGAGGAAGGUGGGGAUGACGUCAAAUCAUCAUGCCCCUUAUGACCUGGGCUACACACGUGCUACAAUGGACGGUACAAAGAGCUGCAAGACCGCGAGGUGGAGCUAAUCUCAUAAAACCGUUCUCAGUUCGGAUUGUAGGCUGCAACUCGCCUACAUGAAGCUGGAAUCGCUAGUAACCGCGGAUCAGCAUGCCGCGGUGAAUACGUUCCCGGGCCUUGUACACACCG
RNAcentral lists this ribosomal RNA (433 nucleotides) under uncultured bacterium. Its description in RNAcentral is "bacterial SSU rRNA". It matches the Rfam family "Bacterial small subunit ribosomal RNA", at positions 958 to 1392 of the family's 1533-position model. The record is from RNAcentral.